AUGCUCACUUCAGCACACAUAUCCUAAAAUUGGAAGUUCACAGAGAAGAUUAGUUUCUGUGAAAGGAUGAUGCACAAACUUGGGAAGCAUUCCAUAUUUUU
RNAcentral lists this small nuclear RNA (101 nucleotides) under Choloepus hoffmanni (Hoffmann's two-fingered sloth). The record is from RNAcentral. Lineage: Eukaryota; Metazoa; Chordata; Mammalia; Pilosa; Megalonychidae.